Long non-coding RNA from Bombus huntii, 2269 nucleotides. RefSeq lists it as uncharacterized. The transcript is spliced from 2 exons. The record is from RefSeq and is a predicted model, not a curated record. NCBI's taxonomy places the organism in Eukaryota, Metazoa, Arthropoda, Insecta, Hymenoptera, Apidae.
GAAAAGUUGGAAUACGCGCUAGCCGUACAAAGGCUGCUGACUAUUCUAAUUGAUUGACGGGCCGAAGGACGCUCGUGCGGUUGUCGUUUUAAUAGACUGCACCGUUGUACAGUUAUAAAUUACACAGUUAACAGUGACUCGAAGCAUCUUUGCCUCGCGCAACGGCUGGAACACAAGCGACCUGCUCGAAAUUAAGUCAUCCCGAUCGUAUUUGUAAAGAGGGAUUUUCAGGAUUUACUGCUUGAUCCCUCGCGACUCAAUAUUAAACGUAGUGAGAGGAUGGUUAUAAUGCAAGACAUAUGCAAGGAACAAGUCCCGGUUGGUAAUGAAGGAAACGUAGAAAUUUAUUUCCAAAGUCGUUAAUGUUCAUAGAUACCAUAAACUACUUCGCCACGUAACUUUACUAUUACUGAGACACUUGUCAUAAAGGGGCACUAGUUUUUGCAUUCCCGCUUUAUAGAAUAAUACCGCUUAAGAUUGCAGGGUUGCUCGUCGCUGUUUCAAAGGAAGAAAGAGGACAAAAUCCCGCUGGCAGUGCGGGAAGUAGUAUAGUGGCGAGCUAGUGACGUCGCGAUCAUGCUAUAGAUUGUAGAUCGUAGACAAACGAAGGUGGGGCGUCAAAGUUGUUGACGCAACGCGGAGGGACGUAAGACGAAAUUCAUGUCACGUGACACGAGCGACGUAGCUGUGGAGUGGCAGUGGGGGUAAUGUGACGUCAUGUAGUCCCCGAAUUAAGGGAAUCGCCUGGCAAAUUGGCACCCAGUGUAAACAUAAUCCCCGAAAUCCCAGACGGUUCUAGACACAAUUUCGUGGAGAAAUGACCGUAAAAUUGGCGGAAAAUGAAUAAGAAAAUGGCGAAAUUAUGUCACGCCAUUUGAAAUUUCGGAAGUUAUGCUCACCCUGAAUACCAACUUAGACAGCCUCGUUCUUUAAAGUGGGGAUAUAAAAAUUGUCGUGAAAAGUGUUUCUAUAAUAGUAAAGACUACGCAGUAAAGUAGUUUAAAGUGUAUAGAAUACAAGGAACGUCACAGAAGUUACUACUAACGGCUUUUUUUCUAUUUCAUAGAGAAAUAAUAAAAAAUGGCAAAAGAGUGUAAUUCACAAGAAUCAUUUCGAAUACAAGGUACAAAAAGCCAUCGAAGUUUCAUAAUGUAGCAUCGUGGUGGUUCGUCUUAAUUAAGAGAAAAUUACGAAGGUAACUUAAACGUGGAUUAAUAGCGAAACGAAACAAAGGAACAUGAAUUAUGUAAGACAAAAGUAGAUACAUAAUAGAACUUAAUAGAACUCUGCCACGUGAUAGAAAAAGGUAAAUUAAAUAAUCGUUUGAUGCCCGCCAUAUUGAGCAGCUUUCAGAAAAAAGGACACACAAGACAAAAUGGCGAACCGAGUAAAUUGCGUUAGAGAAUACAGUCUGCAUCUAUAUAUUUACCACAAACUUAUAGAAAUUUGUUUAGAAAGAUUCUCAUUUACGUAUUUUUUGAUUUUUUAAAUAUGAUUCAAUAUGUGGUUGGAAAUAGUAUGCUUUUUCAGAAUUUUAAUUUCCUGUUACUGAAAUAGAAGUGGAAUUUCAUAACCUAUGCAAUAUGUAAUUCUCUGAGCGCCUUCAGAAGGUAUCAUAUAUGUUUCUAUUACGUAUCAUGCAACUUUUUCAAAUGUAAUAAGGUAUCUUUCAUAAGGUAAAAUUCAGCAUAUUAAAAGACGCACUCUAUAUUCGUAUCCCUAGGAAAUUUCCUCAUAACGUACCAACAUAACGAACGGGACAAAAAAUCCAAUUGAAAUAUCGUUAUAUACAGUUUUAUAUAUCUCAGAAGAAAUAUAAAGGGCAAAAGUCACGAUUAGCACAGGGUUGAUCCUUGCCGCGAUUAAAGGGUCAGUCUUCCGUCGCGUGUGAUGUAAACUGGCGCAGCAGCAAUAUCGCGUCGAGCGGGAGGAAAAAAGGGACGCGGCCAUAUGCAUCUCCCACAGAGAAUGGGUAGCGCGCCGGUACUGCGGGCAGAAAAACAGAAUGGUGCAAUUUGAUGCAGCAGCAACCAACCGCUGGUAAUAAAAAGAUCGAUUUCGAACGCGUCGACCCUUGCCUGGAAAGCCAACACCGGCUGUGAAACGACUUUCCGAGGGAAAAGUCGAAACAUGUACUACGCGUUCAAGUGCCAUUCUUUAUAUUUCCUUCGUAAUGCUUUGUUGGAAUUGUUUAUUGAUCGUUUUCAGUUUUCAGUAUGUAUUAGAAUCUAGUUUAUUAAUGAAUUACAUGGCAUAAUUUUUUCUGAAA